UCUCCGGGAAUUAUAAUUUCAAGACUUUUGCACCAUCUGUGGUAUCAGGACAGAGGAUCUUCAUCUGGAAUUUUCCCUCUGAAUAUGACUUUGGGUUUCUCAAGUAAUGAAAGCGUCAAUGAAGGCAUGAUAAUGUAUGGUAAACAAAAUUGGGUUUCUCAAGUAAGAAGGUUCUGUUCAUCAAUUGUGAACCAACGAAAAUCAAUAUUACCUCUCUCUCAUUCUCAGGAAGUAUUUUUGACAGAAAUGCCUUUGUUACUCAGCGCUGUUGUUGGCAUUCUAUUAAUUCAUCCAUCGAUAGGAGCAGCAGCUGUUGAUUCUUUGG
Long non-coding RNA from Neltuma alba, 325 nucleotides. RefSeq lists it as uncharacterized. The record is from RefSeq and is a predicted model, not a curated record. The transcript is spliced from 3 exons. NCBI's taxonomy places the organism in Eukaryota, Viridiplantae, Streptophyta, Magnoliopsida, Fabales, Fabaceae.